This is a long non-coding RNA of Paramisgurnus dabryanus, 1138 nucleotides long. RefSeq lists it as uncharacterized. Lineage: Eukaryota; Metazoa; Chordata; Actinopteri; Cypriniformes; Cobitidae. The record is from RefSeq and is a predicted model, not a curated record.
AACAUUUCUAUGGUAUUAAAGAUUUAAACCUUAUUAAAACAUAAAAAAAUCUACCGUGAUACAUAUCGUUAUCAUGAUUUAAAAUUAAUCCUAUCGUGAUAGAAGAUUUUGGUCAUAUCGCCCACCCCUAAGUGCAACACUGUUCAUACUUUUGUGUUUAAUUUUUCAAGUGAUUGUGUGAUAUCCAUCAACUUAUUGAUUUUUUUCUUUUACUAUAACAAUUGACAAAACGGUUAUUUUAACAACUACUCUUCUAUUUCUGCCUUCACCUUUUGUGUAUCUGACUAUCAGUUAUGACAGGUAAAAAGCCAUUACAUUUCCAAAAUCUUACUAACUUAAGUGAAUUAAUUUUUGUUUUGUUUGUUUGUUUUUAUUUUUAGGAAGAAGCAGUGCACAUCAACCAUGUUGGAAGCAUUCAAGGAUGAGACAAAACGGCAGGAGAAAGAAGUGCAGAACAUCAGAGUACAUCUUGAACAUCUUGAUGUUGCCAGAUGCUGUCCUGUCAGAAGUUCUUCUUCACGUGGUCCUGGAGGAGGGUGAUGCUGCUGCAUUGUUAAAUCUCUCUUUGGUUUGUUCCAAAUUCAGAAGUCUGGUGGACAGGCACACUUCUGCUGGCUUGAUGGUGUAACUAAAUGGAGUACAAAGUCUGAGCCAUCCCAGGACCUUUAGAAAAUGUUUACACUUCAGCCAACACUGCAAUGAAGUUUACAAUAACUGCUUACCAGGUUAUGUUGGAAGAGGAAAACGAGGAGAGAUGCAAGGCUUUUACUCCGAAAACACCCAUCCAGGGGUUUGCAGUGAGUGGUGCAUGAUGCUACAGGAGGAAUAACUCUGUAUAACACAUCAGUUCUGUUCUGAAAGUCUUGUAAAUACCUCCAGGAUUGUUGUUCGUGAUUCUGAUUUCUGACAUCUACUAGGGAGUGCCCCUAAUAUUAUGUGUAUAUGUUUAUGAAGAAGUUUCUUUGUCUCAAAUCAUGCAAUCAUGCUCUUCUGCAAAUCAUGCACCAAAGGGUACUGUAUUUCUUAUGUUUUAUAUCUUAAGGACCACAAUGGAAAUAAGCCUAUGGGCUUUUUGUAUUUUUAUCCUUUUGAACACUUCAUGUUGAUUGUUGUUCAAUAAAGUAUUUAAUCAAUUCAA